AGUCACAUAGCCACACUCUCCAGCAGAUGUUCAACUACCUCUGCCAAACCAGGAUGAAACCUCAGAUGUCCUUCAGCAAUUAUUCCACAGGCUCCAGGUUUUUGCAAUUACAACUAUCACCAGAAAGCACACCAAUAACACCAGUCAAUCGCCUACCUGUGGAGCAUCUCUGACAACAUGCAAGGUUUGGAACUGCUGUGCUCUACCUCUGCAUCACUGAAAGUUCAUUGAUGGGAGGUAAUCCUGGCAGAAUUUUUUCACACUCUCAGUUGUGACUUGGUCUGCUCGCAUUCUGUAUCUCACAUCCUCUGUUGUAUUAAUCAGGCAAACAGCAGAAUGUGUGUGCCACGGGCUAAGCCAUUCCUAAAUGCCCAGGGACAGUUGAGAGUCAACCAGAUUGCUAUGGGUCCAGAGUCUCAUGUAAACCAGUCCAGAUUGUCAUUUUGAUAGGAUGCACUAGGAUGGGAAGCUGAUGACGACAAUGAGACUAAACCAGCACCUCAUAAACUGUGACGAUUUGGAGAAAAAUGAAGACGUUAUUGAUGGAGAGGAACAUGAAGGAGAUAAGUCUCUCUGUUUUCCAGUUCUCAGGGGUUGAAAAUUCCGAAGAUCAACAACCCUUUCUGGAAAGAAAUUCUCCAGCACCCCCGGCUUAUUUUGAAACAGUGUCCCCUGUUUCCAGACUGUCCCAGGAGGGAAAUCAUCCUUUAAGCAAAUACUGUGUCAAGCUUCCAAAACAGUCUUAUGUUUUAAUAAAAUGACUUCUUAUUCUUUUAAGGCAUGUAUCAUAUUGGUGCUGUUUAGUAUCUGUAUUGCAGUAAACAAUAUAGUCAAUUGUACAGUGUUGGUAUUGCAUGAUAUUAAUGCAACAAAUUGUAUUGAAUUACUGUUGGAGUGGACAGAAUUGGCACAUUCUAAGCACCUGCUGACUGCACUCUGUUGCCAUCUUCUGGUCAUGAGGCAAUGCACUGUAAUCCUGUUAGCAAUGAAUAAAGGGAGGAUUCUACUGACCAGCCUGCUCCCUGGAGGGUGGCAGGAAUGCAAUAUAACAAAUCACCUUCAAGGCAGUGCCUGUUGUCUUCCCUACGUCCCACUAUUAUGUUGUUAUGGGAAGUGUAUAGGAUGGGCCGAAGGGCUAAAUGUCAGUGGUGAUAUUUAACAGCUGCAUGCGAAAAUAGAUUGUAUAGGAUAGGAAAAUAGGCUGAUAAAGUUAAUGAUGAUAUUCGACAAGAUGCAUGACCUUGAAUGAGUCCUGUGGACAUUCCUUUAUGGGCCUGAGAUAACUCCUGCAGCUUGUUUUUCUGUAGCUGUUUUCUGUGCUAGCUGUUUGUUACAAUGUGUAGGAGAGAGAGAGAGAGGGAGUUUUGUUCCAAGAAUUGGAGUUCACCACGAACUGGGAGCGUGAAUGGCGCCAGUAAAAAGCUCAGCCUCUAAACCAGCCAUUGAUAAGGGGUCCCCGACGAUCAGAAGGGCAUGGGGCUUAUUGAUUUUUUCAUUCUCUUUCUCAUUCUUUUUAUUUACUUAAUAAUCAAUUUUUUUGCCUUUUAUUAUUAUUC
Stegostoma tigrinum is the source of this 1556-nucleotide long non-coding RNA. RefSeq lists it as uncharacterized. The transcript has 5 exons. The record is from RefSeq and is a predicted model, not a curated record. Lineage: Eukaryota; Metazoa; Chordata; Chondrichthyes; Orectolobiformes; Stegostomatidae.